Molecule: long non-coding RNA, 264 nt
Filed under: Mytilus galloprovincialis (Mediterranean mussel)
Lineage: Eukaryota; Metazoa; Mollusca; Bivalvia; Mytilida; Mytilidae
Source: RNAcentral
UGGCGUAUUUGGAUCGAAGCGAUUCGAAGAAAUUUUAUAGGAGUUAUCUAUCUUUUCGGAAUAAAUUUGUCGGUAUGUUUUUUUUAACUCAUAAACCGUUAACCGUAUAACCCUGGAAUGUUUUUAUUUGAGUCCCCUGAUUCCUAACUUAGAAAAUUAGGUCAAGGUCAAAGGUCAAGGUCAUAUUUUAGAUUUUCAUAUGUCUUUGAUUUCCCUAUAACUCUUGAACGGUUAUAGAUACAAAAAAAUUAAGCAGUGAAAAAU